RNAcentral lists this ribosomal RNA (488 nucleotides) under uncultured bacterium. RNAcentral describes it as "partial 16S ribosomal RNA". It matches the Rfam family "Bacterial small subunit ribosomal RNA", at positions 28 to 507 of the family's 1533-position model. The record is from RNAcentral.
GAUGAACGCUAGCGGCAGGCCUAAUACAUGCAAGUCGGACGGGAUCCAUUGAUAGCUUGCUAUCAAUGGUGAGAGUGGCGCACGGGUGCGUAACGCGUGAGCAACCUGCCUCCAUCAGGGGGAUAGCCUCUCGAAAGAGAGAUUAACACCGCAUAAUAUCAACAGUUCGCAUGUUCAGUUGAUUAAAUAUUUAUAGGAUGGAGAUGGGCUCGCGUGACAUUAGCUAGUUGGUAGGGUAACGGCUUACCAAGGCGACGAUGUCUAGGGGCUCUGAGAGGAGAAUCCCCCACACUGGUACUGAGACACGGACCAGACUCCUACGGGAGGCAGCAGUAAGGAAUAUUGGUCAAUGGGCGGAAGCCUGAACCAGCCAUGCCGCGUGCAGGAUGGCUGCCCUAUGGGUUGUAAACUGCUUUUGUCCAGGAAUAAACCUAAAUACGAGUAUUUAGCUGAAUGUACUGGAAGAAUAAGGAUCGGCUAACUCCGUG